RNAcentral lists this transfer RNA (73 nucleotides) under Candidatus Vogelbacteria bacterium. Its description in RNAcentral is "tRNA-Thr". It matches the Rfam family "tRNA". From Rfam's summary of the family: Transfer RNA (tRNA) molecules are approximately 80 nucleotides in length. Their secondary structure includes four short double-helical elements and three loops (D, anti-codon, and T loops). Further hydrogen bonds mediate the characteristic L-shaped molecular structure. tRNAs have two regions of fundamental functional importance: the anti-codon, which is responsible for specific mRNA codon recognition, and the 3' end, to which the tRNAs corresponding amino acid is attached (by aminoacyl-tRNA synthetases). tRNAs cope with the degeneracy of the genetic code in two manners: having more than one tRNA (with a specific anti-codon) for a particular amino acid; and 'wobble' base-pairing, i.e. permitting non-standard base-pairing at the 3rd anti-codon position. Lineage: Bacteria; Candidatus Vogeliibacteriota. The record is from RNAcentral.
GCCAAUGUAGCUCAGGCAGUAGAGCAUCUCCAUGGUAAGGAGAAGGUCAUCAGUGCAAAUCUGAUCAUUGGCU